CAAUAGCGUAUAUUAAAGUUGUUGCGGUUAAAAAGCUCGUAGUUGGAUUUCUGCCGAGGGCGACCGGUCCGCCCUCUGGGUGUGUAUCUGGUUUGGCCUGGGCAUCUUCUUGGAGAACGUGGCUGCACUUGACUGUGUGGUGCGGUGUCCAGGACUUUUACUUUGAGGAAAUUAGAGUGUUUCAAGCAGGCACACGCCUUGAAUACAUUAGCAUGGAAUAAUAAGAUAGGACCUCGGUUCUAUUUUGUUGGUCUCUAGAGCUGAGGUAAUGAUUAAUAGGGAUAGUUGGGGGCAUUCGUAUUUAACUGUCAGAGGUGAAAUUCUUGGAUUUGUUAAAGACGGACUACUGCGAAGGCAUUUGCCAAGGAUGUUUUCAUUGA
This 380-nucleotide ribosomal RNA is filed under the name uncultured eukaryote. Its description in RNAcentral is "partial 18S ribosomal RNA". It matches the Rfam family "Eukaryotic small subunit ribosomal RNA", at positions 592 to 976 of the family's 1831-position model. The record is from RNAcentral.